RNAcentral lists this long non-coding RNA (1258 nucleotides) under Ananas comosus (pineapple). RNAcentral describes it as "long non-coding RNA (ACOM_LNC018865)". The record is from RNAcentral. Lineage: Eukaryota; Viridiplantae; Streptophyta; Magnoliopsida; Poales; Bromeliaceae.
UUUAACCUAAUGAAUGAAGCAGGUAGCUUGCUACCUAUUUUCUCAAAAAAAAAAAAUCUUUUGAGAUCAUUCUCUUUUGCUCAUCCUAUUCAUUCAGUAAUGCAGGAUUAAUGCAGGAUUGCUUAUAGGUUACGUUUGAUUAGCGCUAUUUUUUUUAAAAUUUUUAGUAAUUCAAUAGGAAUGAAAAAAAUAUAACGAUAUUUGGCUAAACGUACUAAAGAAUUUAGUUUAAUGUUGAAUUUACUUAGAAAUAAGAUUUAUUCUAAAAUACUAAUCUUAUUUCUUUGUGUAAGGAUGAAUGUCUUUAUAUUAAUAGAUUGUGAUGAUUAGUUCAUUUUUUUUCUCUCUCCCAACCCGUUGGCUUGUUGGUAUUAUUUUUUUUUUUUACUCUCUAACUCCGUAGCUCUGAUUUUAUCGUUUUCUCUCUAAACUUUUUUUUUUUUUCCUCUCUCUAAGUUAACCACUCUCUCUUCCUCUCUUUUUAAAAUCUUAAUUUUCUCACUCACUCUAAUCUUGACUUUAUUUCUCUCCCUCUAUCUUUAAUGUCAAAUCGCUCUCUUUAAGCUAACCUCUUCCCCCCCUUUUUAUCUCUUCACAUCUGUAAUCUGAAAAAUUCUCUUUCUAAUCUUAGCUCACUCUUCCUUUNAAUAAUAAUAAACAAAAUAGACAACUAAUAUCUUUUUGAGUAGAAAGAGAGAGAAAUUUAAGCUAACCUCUUCCCCCCCUUUUUAUCUCUUCACAUCUGUAAUCUGAAAAAUUCUCUUUCUAAUCUUAGCUCACUCUUCCUUUAACUUAAAUUUCUCUCUCUUUCUACUCAAAAAGAUAUUAGUUGUCUAUUUUGUUUAUUAUUAUUUGAUCAAUAAUAUUUUAACUGAUUUUUUUAAAAAAAAUGUUGAAAUUUUUUAUAGUAUUAUUGUAAAUUAAUUAACGAAACAAAUACAUUGUUUCUAAAUCUUAAAUAAUUUGGGCGUGUGAACUAAAUACUAAAAUGUCACAUUUUUUGUAAUAGAAUGAAUGAGAAUAAGAUCUUUGAAUAUCUUUUUAUUAUUAAUAAUUUUUUAUAGUGUAAACCAAACGUGUUCAUAGUGCAGAAUUAUUUUUAAAAUAUUACAAAGGAAAGGAUGGAUAUCUUGAAUUAAUAAUUACAGAUUACUUUGUAAUUUAUACAAAAUUAUAAAAUUAUUCUUCUUCUCUCUCCAAACCUUUUCUUAUCUCUCCAUUUUACUCAUGGAUACCUCAAUCCUCUUCUCUACCUCUC